This 424-nucleotide ribosomal RNA is filed under the name uncultured Flavobacteriia bacterium. Its description in RNAcentral is "bacterial SSU rRNA". It matches the Rfam family "Bacterial small subunit ribosomal RNA", at positions 355 to 776 of the family's 1533-position model. Lineage: Bacteria; Pseudomonadati; Bacteroidota; Flavobacteriia. The record is from RNAcentral.
UGAGGAAUAUUGCGCAAUGGAGGCAACUCUGACGCAGCCAUGCCGCGUGCAGGAAGAAGGCGCUACGCGUUGUAAACUGCUUUUAACCGGGAAGAAACCCCAGGACGUGUCCUGGGUUGACGGUACCGGAGGAAUAAGCACCGGCUAACUUCGUGCCAGCAGCCGCGGUAAUACGAAGGGUGCAAGCGUUAUCCGGAUUCAUUGGGUUUAAAGGGUGCGUAGGUGGGGCGAUAAGUCAGUGGUGAAAUCCUGCGGCUCAACCGUAGAAUUGCCAUUGAUACUGUCGCUCUUGAGUACGCUUGACGUGGGCGGAAUGUGCCGUGUAGCGGUGAAAUGCUUAGAUAUGGCACAGAACACCGAUAGUGAAGACAGCUCACGAAGGCGAAACUGACACUGAGGCACGAAAGCGUGGGGAUCGAACAGG